UACGAAGGGGGCUAGCGUUGCUCGGAAUCACUGGGCGUAAAGGGUGCGUAGGCGGGUCUUUUAAGUCAGGGGUGAAAUCCUGGAGCUCAACUCCAGAACUGCCUUUGAUACUGAGGAUCUUGAGUUCGGGAGAGGUGAGUGGAACUGCGAGUGUAGAGGUGAAAUGCGCAGAUAUCAGGAAGAACACCCGUGGCGAAGGCGGCUUUCUGGGACGGUACUGACGCUGGAGACGCGAAAGCGUGGGGAGCGAACAGG
Molecule: ribosomal RNA, 255 nt
Filed under: uncultured bacterium
Lineage: Bacteria
Description: partial 16S ribosomal RNA
Rfam family: Bacterial small subunit ribosomal RNA
Source: RNAcentral